UCCAGACUCCUACGGGAGGCAGCAGUGGGGAAUAUUGCACAAUGGGGGAAACCCUGAUGCAGCGACGCCGCGUGAGUGAAGAAGUAAUUCGUUAUGUAAAGCCCUAUCGGCAGGGAAGAAGCAAGACGGUACCUGACUAAGAAGCCCCGGCUAACUACGUGCCAGCAGCCGCGGUAAUACGUAGGGGGCAAGCGUUAUCCGGAUUUACUGGGUGUAAAGGGAGCGUAGACGGCAGUGUAAGUCCGGAGUGAAAGCCCGGGGCUCAACCCUGGGACUGCUCUGGAAACUGUAAAGCUGGAGUGCGGGAGGGGCAGGCGGAAUCCCUGGUGUAGCGGUGAAAUGCGUAGAUAUCAGGAGGAACACCGGCGGCGAAGGCGGCCUGCUGGACCGUAACUGACGUUGAGGCUCGAAGGCGUGGGGAGCAAACAGGAUUAGAUACCCUGGUAC
RNAcentral lists this ribosomal RNA (447 nucleotides) under uncultured bacterium. RNAcentral describes it as "bacterial SSU rRNA". It matches the Rfam family "Bacterial small subunit ribosomal RNA", at positions 330 to 793 of the family's 1533-position model. The record is from RNAcentral.